ACCGGCUAACUCCGUGCCAGCAGCCGCGGUAAGUACGGAGGGUGCGAGCGUUAAUCGGAAUUACUGGGCGUAAAGCGCAUGCAGGCGGCCUGUUAAGUCAGAUGUGAAAGCCCGGGGCUUAACCUCGGAAUUGCAUUUGUAAACUGGCAGGCUAGAGUCUUGUAGAGGGGGGUAGGAAGUUUCAGGUGUAGCGGUGAAAUGCGUAGAGAUCUGAAGGAAUACCAGUGGCGAAGGCGGCCCCCCUCGGACAAAGACUGACGCUCAGAUGCGAAAGCGUGGGGAGCAAACAGGAUUAGAUACCCCUGGUAG
Molecule: ribosomal RNA, 309 nt
Filed under: uncultured bacterium
Lineage: Bacteria
Description: bacterial SSU rRNA
Rfam family: Bacterial small subunit ribosomal RNA
Source: RNAcentral